UGUGUAGGCGGUUGCUUAAGUUUGGUGUGAAAUCUCCCGGCUCAACUGGGAGGGUGCGCCGAAUACUGAGUGACUAGAGUGCGGGAGAGGAGAGUGGAAUUCCUGGUGUAGCGGUGAAAUGCGUAGAUAUCAGGAGGAACACCGGUGGUGUAGACGGCUCUCUGGACCGUAACUGACGCUGAGACACGAAAGCGUGGGUAGCAAACAGGAUUAGAUACCCUGGUAGUCCACGCCCUAAACGAUGCAUAUUUGGUGUGGGCAGUUCAGUCUGUCCGUGCCGGAGCUAACGCGUUAAAUAUGCCGCCUGGGGAGUACAGUCGCAAGGCUAGAA
This 331-nucleotide ribosomal RNA is filed under the name uncultured bacterium. RNAcentral describes it as "bacterial SSU rRNA". It matches the Rfam family "Bacterial small subunit ribosomal RNA", at positions 568 to 899 of the family's 1533-position model. The record is from RNAcentral.